This 287-nucleotide ribosomal RNA is filed under the name uncultured bacterium. RNAcentral's name for it is "partial 16S ribosomal RNA". It matches the Rfam family "Bacterial small subunit ribosomal RNA", at positions 209 to 507 of the family's 1533-position model. The record is from RNAcentral.
GUUUCGGCGGUUGGGGAUGGACUCGCGGCUUAUCAGCUUGUUGGUGGGGUAGUGGCUUACCAAGGCUUUGACGGGUAGCCGGCCUGAGAGGGUGCCCGGCCACAUUGGGACUGAGAUACGGCCCAGACUCCUACGGGGAGGCAGCAGUGGGGAAUAUUGCACAAUGGGCGGAAGCCUGAUGCAGCAACGCCGCGUGCGGGAUGACGGCCUUCGGGUUGUAAACCGCUUUCGCCUGUGACGAAGCGUGAGUGACGGUAAUGGGUAAAGAAGCACCGGCUAACUACGUG